This is a long non-coding RNA of Nelumbo nucifera (sacred lotus), 774 nucleotides long. RefSeq lists it as uncharacterized. The record is from RefSeq and is a predicted model, not a curated record. NCBI's taxonomy places the organism in Eukaryota, Viridiplantae, Streptophyta, Magnoliopsida, Proteales, Nelumbonaceae.
CCUACUCUGUCCAACCAAACAGCUAAUGGGCCAUCCACCGCACUUCGCCCCACAAACGCCCCACACGACGUGCGAUUGACACCUGUCCAGUCGCACGCGGUGGGGCAUUCUCGCGUGUGACGUUAACGUGAUGGACGUAGCCCUGUCCGUUAGCCCCAAAACCAAUUCAAAGGUGCUGGAGCGCGCCCCCUGAAGCUCAUUUCCCAUAUUCGCGCCCCUCUGAAGCUCAAAUCGGAGGAGAGGCUCUGACCCCCGUUCUCUGCCCGAUCUCGGAUCUCCGCUCCCAUUUCCGGUACCGGCGAACUCUUCGGUUACCAGGUGUUGGAGUGUUUUUCAUUUCAAGAAACCAAUACUCUAUGAAGAAAAAACUAAGGAGUGAUGCCCCUGCAUGUCUUUACUGUGUCUUUGUGCGCACACAACUUUGGAAACUAUAAGAGAAAAGACAAUAAGUCGAAACAGAUGGGAUCAUGGGGGGCCUGAUUGGAGUGGACUGUACCAGCAUGGAGACUGCUUUUUGGCUCAUCAAAGACUAGCUAUUAUUGAUCCUUCUUCAGGGGACCAGCCUCUGUUUAACUAAGACAGGAAGAUAGUUGUAAUGCCCUGCUUUAGGCUAGUUAGUUGGACAAUACCAUAAACCUGUGUUUAAUAUAUUAAUAUACCCUUGAAAGCUAAAGAGGAGAGAGAGAGAGAGAGAGAGAGUUCAUAGCCAUAGCCAAACAACAUUUGUACCAAAGCAUACAAAUUAAUAAUAAAGUGUUUGAAAAUUCAGCUUUC